UGGCGGCAGGCUUAACACAUGCAAGUCGAGCGGUAGCAGAUCUAGCUUGCUAGAUGCUGACGAGCGGCGGACGGGUGAGUAACGCGUAGGAACCUGCCCAGUGUGGGGGAUAGCCCGGGGAAACUCGGAUUAAUACCGCAUACGCUCUACGGAGGAAAGAGGGGGCUUCGGCUCUCGCUAUUGGAUGGGCCUGCGUGAGAUUAGCUAGUUGGUGAGGUAAUGGCUCACCAAGGCGACGAUCUCUAGCUGGUCUGAGAGGAUGAUCAGCCACACUGGGACUGAGACACGGCCCAGACUCCUACGGGAGGCAGCAGUGGGGAAUAUUGCACAAUGGGCGCAAGCCUGAUGCAGCCAUGCCGCGUGUGUGAAGAAGGCUUUCGGGUUGUAAAGCACUUUCAGUGGGGAGGAAGGCCUCGUAGUUAAUAGCUGCGAGGAUUGACGUUACCCACAGAAGAAGCACCGGCUAACUCCGUG
Molecule: ribosomal RNA, 474 nt
Filed under: uncultured bacterium
Lineage: Bacteria
Description: bacterial SSU rRNA
Rfam family: Bacterial small subunit ribosomal RNA
Source: RNAcentral